CCUACGGGCGGCAGCAGUGGGGGAUAGUGCACAAUGGAGGAAACUCUGAUGCAGCGACGCGGCGUGAGGGAAGACGGUCUUCGGAUUGUAAACCUCUGUCUGUGGGGAAGAAAAUGACGGUACACAAAGAGGAAGCUCCGGCUAACUACGUGCCAGCAGCCGCGGUAAUACGUAGGGAGCGAGCGUUGUCCGGAAUUACUGGGUGUAAAGGGAGCGUAGGCGGGCGCGAAAGUUGAAUGUUAAAUCUACCGGCUUAACUGGUAGCUGCGUGCCAAACUUCUUGUCUUGAGUGCAGUAGAGGCAGGCGGCAUUCCUCUUGUAGCGGUGACAUGCGUCGAUAUUAGGAGG
Molecule: ribosomal RNA, 348 nt
Filed under: uncultured bacterium
Lineage: Bacteria
Description: partial 16S ribosomal RNA
Rfam family: Bacterial small subunit ribosomal RNA
Source: RNAcentral